Molecule: unclassified non-coding RNA, 20 nt
Filed under: Chlamydomonas reinhardtii
Lineage: Eukaryota; Viridiplantae; Chlorophyta; Chlorophyceae; Chlamydomonadales; Chlamydomonadaceae
Description: small RNA Cre_0673
Source: RNAcentral
AUAUUUGCAAGCAAGAACAA